AACGUAGGAGCCUAGCGUUAUCCGAAUUUACUGGGCGUAAAGCGCGUGCAGGCGGCUUCGUAAGUGGAUUGUGAAAUCUCCCGGCUCAACUGGGAGGGGACGGUCCAGACUGCGAGGCUGGAGGCAGGGAGAGGGAGGUGGAAUUCCCGGUGUAGUGGUGAAAUGCGUAGAGAUCAGCAGGAACACCCGUGGCGAAGGCGGCCCCCUGGGCCGAACCUGACGCUGAGGCGCGAAGGCUAGGGGAGCGAACGGG
Molecule: ribosomal RNA, 253 nt
Filed under: uncultured bacterium
Lineage: Bacteria
Description: partial 16S ribosomal RNA
Rfam family: Bacterial small subunit ribosomal RNA
Source: RNAcentral